GCAAGCUCACCGCAGGGGAGCACUGUUCCACAUUGUCCUGGUGGCCUGGAUUCAUGCCGCGAUGAAACAAGGGAACUCUCUCCACAACCAGGUUCUUGUGCAAUUGCUGCUCACAAUUAUUGGUAUUGUGAAACGACCCUUGGUGCACACCCAUAAUCAUCUGCACUAGCUCCUCCUUACUUCCGGAAUUGCUCAUUUGACUGUCCCCCGAGUGCAGUAACGGCAAGUGGGAGUUUACGGAUUGGAGUACCGGCUUGUGAGUAUCUUGAUCCGCGUGAUGUGGUUUCUUAGCGUAAUUCUCUCCGGGUAUUGCAUUCUGAGAAAGGGAAUUGUUCAAGUGAC
This 342-nucleotide long non-coding RNA is filed under the name Physcomitrium patens. Its description in RNAcentral is "long non-coding RNA (PPAT_LNC011864)". The record is from RNAcentral. Lineage: Eukaryota; Viridiplantae; Streptophyta; Bryopsida; Funariales; Funariaceae.